UUUUAAAAUAUAUCACUCACCAAAGCACACUUCUGAACUAUAUAAAACUCACCAGAGCACACGUCUGAACGCUAGGAAUAUCUGAAACAGAAUGAAGAAAAUGCCGUAAUGUAAGGUAUUAAAUAUACUUCUAGUCGGACGGAAAACUAAAUGAAUUUAUUCGAGCCAGCUACGCAGGCGUGUGUUUACCGGCUAGUUUAAUAUUUCAUGAAGUUGCCAGCCAGUAUGGGAUAAGACAGAGGUGGUAGUAGGUGCAAAGUUCUACUCAAAUGGAAUUGUAAUUACGCCUCAUUUCUGGAAUGAACAUACGAACUAGUAUACGACCCAACAGAUGCAAUUACAAAACAUCAUCUACCUCAUCAAAUAGAAUUUACGAUGAAAAAAGGAAUGUUAUGUGUAAAAGCGGCGAAGACAUAAAAAUGUAGAAUAUUUAUUAUGAUUUUCAGAAAAGCAAAUCGACGACUGCCUAUUUUAAAGAGGCUCCUGCAGGUCUGCUGGAAAUACGAAAAAAUAUUUUUAUUACUGUAGCAAAGAUACUUAGGAAAAAAUAAAUAAAUUUUUGAAGUAA
RNAcentral lists this long non-coding RNA (568 nucleotides) under Diabrotica virgifera virgifera (western corn rootworm). Its description in RNAcentral is "uncharacterized LOC126890373". The record is from RNAcentral. Lineage: Eukaryota; Metazoa; Arthropoda; Insecta; Coleoptera; Chrysomelidae.